GACGUAGGGUCCGAGCGUUGUCGGAGUUACUGGGCGUAAAGGGCGCGUAGGGCGGCUUUGUGCGUUCACCCGGUGAAAGCCCCCGGCUGCAACCGGGGACGGGUCGGGUGAAACGGCGGAGCUGGAGGCAGCGAGAGGCGGUGGAAUUCCCGGAGUAGUGGGUGAAAUGCGUAGAGAUCGGGAGGAACACCGGUGGCGAAGGCGGCCAGCUGGCGCUGACCUGACGCUGAGGCGCGAAGCGUGGGAGCGAACGGG
This 255-nucleotide ribosomal RNA is filed under the name uncultured bacterium. RNAcentral's name for it is "partial 16S ribosomal RNA". It matches the Rfam family "Bacterial small subunit ribosomal RNA", at positions 524 to 776 of the family's 1533-position model. The record is from RNAcentral.